UGCAGUCGAGCGGAAGGCCCUUCGGGGUACUCGAGCGGCGAACGGGUGAGUAACACGUGGGUAAUCAACCCCUGACAUCGGGAUACCCCGGGGAAACCCGGAUCAAUACCGAAUAAGGUGCGGAGCCGCAGGGCGCCGUACCAAAGGUAGCUUCGGCCUCCGGUCAGGGACGAGCCCGCGGCCCAUUAGCUUGUUGGUGAGGUAACGGCUCACCAAGGCGACGAUGGGUAGCUGGUCUGAGAGGACGAUCAGCCACACUGGGACUGAGACACGGCCCAGACUCCUACGGGAGGCAGCAGUGGGGAAUCUUGCGCAAUGGGCGGAAGCCUGACGCAGCAACGCCGCGUGCGGGAAGAAGGUCUUAGGAUCGUAAACCGCUUUCAGGAGGGACGAAGCUUCCGGGGUUAAUAGCCUACGGGGUGACGGUACCUCCAAAAGAAGGUCCGGCUAACUACGUGCCAGCAGCCGCGGUAAUACGUAGGGACCGAGCGUUGUCCGGAAUUAUUGGGCGUAAAGCGCGUGUAGGCGGCUUGGUAGGUUUCGUGUUAAAUCCCUCGGCUCAACCGAGGAAUCGCACGGAAAACCACCUCGCUAGAGUCCGGAAGAGGGAAACGGAAUUCCAGGUGUAGCGGUGAAAUGCGCAGAUAUCUGGAAGAACACCCGUGGCGAAGGCGGUUUCCUGGGACGGUACUGACGCUGAGACGCGAAAGCGUGGGGAGCGAACAGGAUUAGAUACCCUGGUAGUCCACGCCGUAAACGAUGGGCGCUAGGUGUGGGAGUGUCGACUCUUCCCGUGCCGAAGCUACGCAUUAAGCGCCCGCUGGGGAGUACGGCCGCAAGGCU
This 843-nucleotide ribosomal RNA is filed under the name uncultured Rubrobacteraceae bacterium. RNAcentral's name for it is "bacterial SSU rRNA". It matches the Rfam family "Bacterial small subunit ribosomal RNA", at positions 56 to 895 of the family's 1533-position model. The record is from RNAcentral. Lineage: Bacteria; Bacillati; Actinomycetota; Rubrobacteria; Rubrobacterales; Rubrobacteraceae.